RNAcentral lists this ribosomal RNA (676 nucleotides) under Triticum aestivum (bread wheat). Its description in RNAcentral is "partial small subunit ribosomal RNA". Lineage: Eukaryota; Viridiplantae; Streptophyta; Magnoliopsida; Poales; Poaceae. The record is from RNAcentral.
AGCAUCCACGACACCCCGAGAUGGAUAAGACCGCCCCCUCCUCCCCGAAACCCUAGCAUCCCCUUUUUCUUCCCUCUCGCGCCCCUGCCUCUCCUGCUCGACGCCCGUGCAUUGCCGUCACCGCCAUUCAUCGUUGCCGUCCUCUGGGUCAUCCCCGAGCUGCUACAAGGUGGCCACGAGCUUCCCCAACCUCGUCUCCUUCACCUAUGCCUCUGGAUCGAAGCCAAAGGGCCUUGUAUGCUCCACAUCGAGCCGCCAUCCCCACCACAGCCGCCACGGCCGUCGCCGUCGAUCCCCACCUCCGGCACCCCCUCGACCUGUUCGAGCACGGCCCCGACCUCCUCCCAACCCCGUGACGAUGCUGAUGCCGCUGUGAUCGACUACGUCACCGACGACCCCUUCUUCUUGUCUGAGUAACCAGAUGACGGAUCCCAGGAGCCAGACGACACCAUAAUGACUACUGCUACCCCGAGGGUGCGUACUACUACGUGACGGCCGCUGACGACUUGGAGUAGUUAGGAGGCUUCUAGGCAGGAGGCCUUGCCUUUUCGAUCGUUGUUGCUUUUGUGCUAGCCUUAUUAAGGCAAACUUGUUUAACUUAUGUUUGUACUCAGAUAUUGUUGCUUCCGCUGACUCUUAUGUAUUCGAGCUUGUGUACUCGAGCCCUCGAGGCCCC